GGGGUUAUAGCUCAGUGGUAGACCACAAGCUUAGCAUGCAUGAGGUUCUGAGUUCAAUCCCCAGUACAUCCA
Molecule: transfer RNA, 72 nt
Filed under: Camelus bactrianus (Bactrian camel)
Lineage: Eukaryota; Metazoa; Chordata; Mammalia; Artiodactyla; Camelidae
Also listed under: 2 other names
Rfam family: tRNA
About the family: Transfer RNA (tRNA) molecules are approximately 80 nucleotides in length.
Source: Rfam by way of RNAcentral